UUGAACGCUGGCGGCAUGCCUUACACAUGCAAGUCGAACGGCAGCACGGGAGCAAUCCUGGUGGCGAGUGGCGAACGGGUGAGUAAUAUAUCGGAACGUGCCCAGUCGUGGGGGAUAACGUAGCGAAAGCUACGCUAAUACCGCAUACGAUCUAUGGAUGAAAGUGGGGGAUUCGCAAGAACCUCAUGCUCAUGGAGCGGCCGAUAUCUGAUUAGCUAGUUGGUGAGGUAAAGGCUCACCAAGGCGACGAUCAGUAGCUGGUUUGAGAGAACGACCAGCCACACUGGAACUGAGACACGGUCCAGACUCCUACGGGAGGCAGCAGUGGGGAAUUUUGGACAAUGGGGGGCAACCCUGAUCCAGCAAUGCCGCGUGAGUGAAGAAGGUCUUCGGAUUGUAAAGCACUUUAAGUUGGGAGGAAGGGUAGUAACCUAAUACGUUGCUACUUUGACGUUACCGACAGAAUAAGCACCGGCUAACUUCGUG
RNAcentral lists this ribosomal RNA (486 nucleotides) under uncultured bacterium. Its description in RNAcentral is "bacterial SSU rRNA". It matches the Rfam family "Bacterial small subunit ribosomal RNA", at positions 30 to 507 of the family's 1533-position model. The record is from RNAcentral.